ACAGCAGCAGCCGCGGUAAUACGAAGGGUGCAAGCGUUAAUCGGAAUUACUGGGCGUAAAGCGUGCGUAGGCGGUUUGUUAAGUCUGUUGUGAAAUCCCCGGGCUCAACCUGGGAAUGGCAAUGGAUACUGGCAAGCUAGAGUGUGUCAGAGGAUGGUGGAAUUCCCGGUGUAGCGGUGGAAUGCGUAGAUAUAGGAAGGAACACCAGUGGCGAAGGCGACCACCUGGACUAAGACUGACACUGAGGCGCGAGAGCGUGGGGAGCAAACAGGAUUAGAUACCCCCGUAGUCCCUGUCUCUUAUAC
This 305-nucleotide ribosomal RNA is filed under the name uncultured bacterium. Its description in RNAcentral is "partial 16S ribosomal RNA". It matches the Rfam family "Bacterial small subunit ribosomal RNA", at positions 505 to 807 of the family's 1533-position model. The record is from RNAcentral.